AUUCGAUUGUGCCAGCAGCCGCGGUAAUACGUAGGGGGCAAGCGUUAUCCGGAAUUACUGGGUGUAAAGGGUGAGUAGGCGGCAGAAUAAGUCAUAUGUGAAAUCCCACGGCUUAACCGAGGGACUGCAUAAGAAACUGUUUUGCUAGAGUACAGGAGAGGUAAGCGGAAUUCCUAGUGUAGCGGUGAAAUGCGUAGAUAUUAGGAAGAACACCAGUGGCGAAGGCGGCUUACUGGACUGUUACUGACGCUGAGUCACGAAAGCGUGGGGAGCGAACAGGAUUAGAUACCCUGGUAGUCCACGCUGUAAACGAUGAGUGCUAGGUGUUGGGGCGAGAGCCUCGGUGCCGCAGCUAACGCAAUAAGCACUCCACCUGGGGAGUACGGUCGCAAGAUG
Molecule: ribosomal RNA, 396 nt
Filed under: uncultured bacterium
Lineage: Bacteria
Description: bacterial SSU rRNA
Rfam family: Bacterial small subunit ribosomal RNA
Source: RNAcentral